UGGCCUCCCAAAGUGCUAGGAUUACAGCCAUGAGCCACCGCACCCAGCCACUUGGGAAGAUUCUUCAAGUGACCAUUUGGUCAAGCGCCCAAGCUUUUAUGUAGGCAAACCUCCUAGUUAUCCUAGGCAGGUGGUGGCCAAUUCUUUUAAAGAUUUCCAUGGCUCUCGAUACCCCCAUCAUACUCCAGCACCCAUCCUGCCCUGGCUUAUCCUGACAAAAGAUUUUUUCCCCCACAUUUACCUGAACUCUGUCUUCCUUGCUAUUCAGAGAAAAUGAAGAAGGAAAGAGAAAGAACUACAGAAUUACCAGGAUACAAGGAAUUUGCUGUUAAGAUCUUCUUAACCUUCCAGUUGCUUGGGAAUCAUUGCCGUAGGGUGUCUCUGUACUCAACAGAAGGGUGAAGACGUUUUAGCAACAGUAGCAAAGCAAAUGAUCUUGGACUUACAGUUUCUUGAUUUCCGAUGAUUAAGCUUCUGCACAUACCAACCCCAAGACAGGGUCAUUCUAUAACUUCUUAAUAAGGUUAAGGUAUUUCGACUACUUGGUCUUCAGUUUCCCUCAGUAAUAGAGACACCAAGAUCCUAUUGCUCUCCAGCAACCAGGCAGGAGAGAUUUGAGUCAGAGGAAAGCACGAGAGAGAAGUUAAGAACAGCAAUUUCUUAAGUCAUAAACGGAGUCAGGACUGUAAGUGUGAUUUUCUGUUACCUGCCCCAGACCUCAUGGAAUUAAACUUUCCUGCCCUGAUCCCUUGGAUUCGUUUCUCCAACCCCACUCACCUAGCCCGGCCUCCCCGAAACACAAAUUGGAAUGGCGUUGGCUCCCGGGCACACUAGGGGGCGCCAGCGGGCUUGUUUUCCAGGAUGGCCCUAAAAUUCUCUCCAGCGAGGAGAGGACCAUGACGGCCAGGCCACGCUUGCUCUGAAAAGCGCCGAGCGUGGAAGGGUGUCUUGGAAUGGGGUCUAAAAGGGAGAACGACAUCCUUAUGACUUGCUUUAGGCUGCUUUCUGGAUGUAUUUUCAGAGCUGGGGAUGAGGAGAGGUUGCGUAAAGGUGCCGGCCUGCUGCUGGCCGGGGCUGGCAGCCUUUCAGCCGCCGCGGGUGAGUCAACACCUGGGAAUUGCAUCCAAGGGCGGCCCUUUCAAGCUGCCUGGAACUUUCUGCCAUCACACUGAGGCCACUGUUUGACCCAGUCCCGGGCCAGGGAGGCAGGAGCCGAUCACGUCCCAGGGCAGUGCUUCUCCCUGGCACUGAGUCCGUGGAAAGAGGCUGGGAAGGUUCUUUCCACACUUGAGGGCUGGCGUUGGGAAAAUAGGGUAGUGCUCUCCGCCCCAGUGAACAGCAAGAGCUCACUUCCCCCAGCAGACUUCUGCUCCACUGGCCUACUUUCAGCAUGGAGUGGAAGGAAGCCAGCUCCAGGAGGGCAGAGGCUUCCUCUCCACCCCUCUCUUCCACAACCUUCAACAGGCGCCUUGUUCUCCCCGGCCAGGGAACUGCGGAUGGUGACCAUCGUUUCCCAGCCCAGCAAGGGGAAAUGAGGGGAGGAAAUAAACGCAGGGUUUUUAUUGCCAAAUAUUUCUUUCCCUGGGAGGACAACGCAUUCAAACCGCUGAGUGGAGAUUGGAGUUAGUCCAGCCAUAAACCAUCUUAAUGAACACUAAUAGAGAACCGCAAUUAUUGUUGACUUCAAAAUGCAAACAAGAACUUUAGACAGUGAUCCCUAUCAGCCGGUGAGGCCGGGCACAGAUGCCGGGCGCUGUUUUUGCCGUUGCUUAGCAAUGGAAAAUGAACUGUUCCUGUCUGUUACCACUGGAGGUGGAGAUAAAGUUUGAACUUUUGCCGGGAGUGUCCCUCCAAAACGAUCAUCAAUCAGACAGAAUAGCUGCAAAUACCAACUCACAGACCAGGUUGGGAAUUAGGUGAUAGGGUCUUGCUAUGUUGCCUCGGCUGGAAUGCAGUGGCUGUUCAUAGACAUUAUCACAGCACACUACAGUCUCAAACUCCUGGACUCAAGCAAUCCUCCUGCCUCAGCCUCCUGAGUAGCUAGGACUACUGGGAUGCACUACUGCUCUUGGCAAAUUAAGGAUUUUGAGAUGGAGAGACUAUCCUGGAUUAUCUGAUGGGCUUAAUCAUUGACAAAGGUUCUUAUAUAAGGAAAAGUCAAUGUGAUAAUGGAAGCAGAUUUGAAGAUGCUGUGCAACUGGCUUUGAAGAUGGAGGACGGGGCCACAAGCCAAGGAUUGUUGGCAGCCUCUAAGCUGGAAGAGGUAAGAAGCAUAUUCUCCUGUGGCACCUCCGGGAGAAAUGCAGUACUGCCUAUACCUUGACUUUAGCCAAGUGAAACUAAUUUUAGACUUCUCACCUCCAGAACUGUAAGAUAAUAAAUUUGUGUUGAUUUAAGACACUAUGUUUGUGGUAAUUGGUUACAGCAAU
This 2429-nucleotide long non-coding RNA is filed under the name Homo sapiens (human). RNAcentral's name for it is "HSALNT0378600". Lineage: Eukaryota; Metazoa; Chordata; Mammalia; Primates; Hominidae. The record is from RNAcentral.